GUGCAUGGCGGCAGCUACCAUGCAGUCGAGCGCACCUUCGGGUGAGCGGCGGACGGGUGAGUAACGCGUGGGAACGUACCCUUCUCUGCGGAAUAGCCACUGGAAACGGUGAGUAAUACCGCAUACGCCCUUCGGGGGAAAGAUUUAUCGGAGAAGGAUCGGCCCGCGUUGGAUUAGGUAGUUGGUGGGGUAAUGGCCUACCAAGCCUACGAUCCAUAGCUGGUUUGAGAGGAUGAUCAGCCACACUGGGACUGAGACACGGCCCAGACUCCUACGGGAGGCAGCAGUGGGGAAUCUUAGACAAUGGGCGCAAGCCUGAUCUAGCCAUGCCGCGUGAGUGAAGAAGGCCUUAGGGUCGUAAAGCUCUUUCGCUGGGGAAGAUAAUGACUGUACCCAGUAAAGAAACCCCGGCUAACUCCGUGCCAGCAGCCGCGGUAAUACGGAGGGGGUUAGCGUUGUUCGGAAUUACUGGGCGUAAAGCGCGCGUAGGCGGAUCAGAAAGUUGGGGGUGAAA
RNAcentral lists this ribosomal RNA (514 nucleotides) under Salipiger marinus. Its description in RNAcentral is "bacterial SSU rRNA". It matches the Rfam family "Bacterial small subunit ribosomal RNA", at positions 33 to 599 of the family's 1533-position model. Lineage: Bacteria; Pseudomonadati; Pseudomonadota; Alphaproteobacteria; Rhodobacterales; Roseobacteraceae. The record is from RNAcentral.